Molecule: unclassified non-coding RNA, 329 nt
Organism: Dipodomys ordii (Ord's kangaroo rat)
Lineage: Eukaryota; Metazoa; Chordata; Mammalia; Rodentia; Heteromyidae
Gene: 7SK
Rfam family: 7SK RNA
About the family: 7SK was discovered as an abundant small nuclear RNA in the mid-70s but a possible function has only recently been suggested. Two independent studies have found that 7SK RNA binds the CDK9/cyclin T complex (known as elongation factor P-TEFb).
Source: Ensembl
GGAUGUGAGGGCGAUCUGGCUGCGACAUCUGUCUCCCCAUUGAUCGCCAGGGUUGAUUCGGCUGAUCUGGCUGGCUAGGCGGGUCCUUCCUCCCUCACCGCUCCAUGUGCGUCCCUCCCGAAGCUGCGCGCUCGGUCCAAGAGGAUGACUAUCCUCAAUAGAGGAGGACUGGUCUUCGGUCAAGGGUAUACGAGUAGCUGCACUCCCCUGCUAGAACCUCCAAACAAGCUCUCAAGAAUCAAACCCAGGGCCUCAUGCACGCGAAGCAAGCAUUCUACCACUUAGCCACCUUCCCAGCCCUCUAUGAGACUCUUAUCUCUAAUUAAUGG